Molecule: transfer RNA, 68 nt
Filed under: Conus tabidus
Lineage: Eukaryota; Metazoa; Mollusca; Gastropoda; Neogastropoda; Conidae
Description: tRNA-Thr
Rfam family: tRNA
About the family: Transfer RNA (tRNA) molecules are approximately 80 nucleotides in length. Their secondary structure includes four short double-helical elements and three loops (D, anti-codon, and T loops). Further hydrogen bonds mediate the characteristic L-shaped molecular structure. tRNAs have two regions of fundamental functional importance: the anti-codon, which is responsible for specific mRNA codon recognition, and the 3' end, to which the tRNAs corresponding amino acid is attached (by aminoacyl-tRNA synthetases). tRNAs cope with the degeneracy of the genetic code in two manners: having more than one tRNA (with a specific anti-codon) for a particular amino acid; and 'wobble' base-pairing, i.e. permitting non-standard base-pairing at the 3rd anti-codon position.
Source: RNAcentral
GCAAUAAUAGCUUAAAUUGAAAGCCUUGGUCUUGUAAGCCAAAGAUGAACUUAUAUAUUCUUAUUGCU